Molecule: ribosomal RNA, 2789 nt
Filed under: Escherichia coli
Lineage: Bacteria; Pseudomonadati; Pseudomonadota; Gammaproteobacteria; Enterobacterales; Enterobacteriaceae
Description: bacterial LSU rRNA
Rfam family: Bacterial large subunit ribosomal RNA
Source: RNAcentral
AGCGUACACGGUGGAUGCCCUGGCAGUCAGAGGCGAUGAAGGACGUGCUAAUCUGCGAUAAGCGUCGGUAAGGUGAUAUGAACCGUUAUAACCGGCGAUUUCCGAAUGGGGAAACCCAGUGUGAUUCGUCACACUAUCAUUAACUGAAUCCAUAGGUUAAUGAGGCGAACCGGGGGAACUGAAACAUCUAAGUACCCCGAGGAAAAGAAAUCAACCGAGAUUCCCCCAGUAGCGGCGAGCGAACGGGGAGCAGCCCAGAGCCUGAAUCAGUGUGUGUGUUAGUGGAAGCGUCUGGAAAGGCGCGCGAUACAGGGUGACAGCCCCGUACACAAAAAUGCACAUGCUGUGAGCUCGAUGAGUAGGGCGGGACACGUGGUAUCCUGUCUGAAUAUGGGGGGACCAUCCUCCAAGGCUAAAUACUCCUGACUGACCGAUAGUGAACCAGUACCGUGAGGGAAAGGCGAAAAGAACCCCGGCGAGGGGAGUGAAAAAGAACCUGAAACCGUGUACGUACAAGCAGUGGGAGCACAGAGCAAUCUGUGUGACUGCGUACCUUUUGUAUAAUGGGUCAGCGACUUAUAUUCUGUAGCAAGGUUAACCGAAUAGGGGAGCCGAAGGGAAACCGAGUCUUAACUGGGCGUUAAGUUGCAGGGUAUAGACCCGAAACCCGGUGAUCUAGCCAUGGGCAGGUUGAAGGUUGGGUAACACUAACUGGAGGACCGAACCGACUAAUGUUGAAAAAUUAGCGGAUGACUUGUGGCUGGGGGUGAAAGGCCAAUCAAACCGGGAGAUAGCUGGUUCUCCCCGAAAGCUAUUUAGGUAGCGCCUCGUGAAUUCAUCUCCGGGGGUAGAGCACUGUUUCGGCAAGGGGGUCAUCCCGACUUACCAACCCGAUGCAAACUGCGAAUACCGGAGAAUGUUAUCACGGGAGACACACGGCGGGUGCUAACGUCCGUCGUGAAGAGGGAAACAACCCAGACCGCCAGCUAAGGUCCCAAAGUCAUGGUUAAGUGGGAAACGAUGUGGGAAGGCCCAGACAGCCAGGAUGUUGGCUUAGAAGCAGCCAUCAUUUAAAGAAAGCGUAAUAGCUCACUGGUCGAGUCGGCCUGCGCGGAAGAUGUAACGGGGCUAAACCAUGCACCGAAGCUGCGGCAGCGACGCUUAUGCGUUGUUGGGUAGGGGAGCGUUCUGUAAGCCUGCGAAGGUGUGCUGUGAGGCAUGCUGGAGGUAUCAGAAGUGCGAAUGCUGACAUAAGUAACGAUAAAGCGGGUGAAAAGCCCGCUCGCCGGAAGACCAAGGGUUCCUGUCCAACGUUAAUCGGGGCAGGGUGAGUCGACCCCUAAGGCGAGGCCGAAAGGCGUAGUCGAUGGGAAACAGGUUAAUAUUCCUGUACUUGGUGUUACUGCGAAGGGGGGACGGAGAAGGCUAUGUUGGCCGGGCGACGGUUGUCCCGGUUUAAGCGUGUAGGCUGGUUUUCCAGGCAAAUCCGGAAAAUCAAGGCUGAGGCGUGAUGACGAGGCACUACGGUGCUGAAGCAACAAAUGCCCUGCUUCCAGGAAAAGCCUCUAAGCAUCAGGUAACAUCAAAUCGUACCCCAAACCGACACAGGUGGUCAGGUAGAGAAUACCAAGGCGCUUGAGAGAACUCGGGUGAAGGAACUAGGCAAAAUGGUGCCGUAACUUCGGGAGAAGGCACGCUGAUAUGUAGGUGAAGUCCCUCGCGGAUGGAGCUGAAAUCAGUCGAAGAUACCAGCUGGCUGCAACUGUUUAUUAAAAACACAGCACUGUGCAAACACGAAAGUGGACGUAUACGGUGUGACGCCUGCCCGGUGCCGGAAGGUUAAUUGAUGGGGUCAGCGCAAGCGAAGCUCUUGAUCGAAGCCCCGGUAAACGGCGGCCGUAACUAUAACGGUCCUAAGGUAGCGAAAUUCCUUGUCGGGUAAGUUCCGACCUGCACGAAUGGCGUAAUGAUGGCCAGGCUGUCUCCACCCGAGACUCAGUGAAAUUGAACUCGCUGUGAAGAUGCAGUGUACCCGCGGCAAGACGGAAAGACCCCGUGAACCUUUACUAUAGCUUGACACUGAACAUUGAGCCUUGAUGUGUAGGAUAGGUGGGAGGCUUUGAAGUGUGGACGCCAGUCUGCAUGGAGCCGACCUUGAAAUACCACCCUUUAAUGUUUGAUGUUCUAACGUUGACCCGUAAUCCGGGUUGCGGACAGUGUCUGGUGGGUAGUUUGACUGGGGCGGUCUCCUCCUAAAGAGUAACGGAGGAGCACGAAGGUUGGCUAAUCCUGGUCGGACAUCAGGAGGUUAGUGCAAUGGCAUAAGCCAGCUUGACUGCGAGCGUGACGGCGCGAGCAGGUGCGAAAGCAGGUCAUAGUGAUCCGGUGGUUCUGAAUGGAAGGGCCAUCGCUCAACGGAUAAAAGGUACUCCGGGGAUAACAGGCUGAUACCGCCCAAGAGUUCAUAUCGACGGCGGUGUUUGGCACCUCGAUGUCGGCUCAUCACAUCCUGGGGCUGAAGUAGGUCCCAAGGGUAUGGCUGUUCGCCAUUUAAAGUGGUACGCGAGCUGGGUUUAGAACGUCGUGAGACAGUUCGGUCCCUAUCUGCCGUGGGCGCUGGAGAACUGAGGGGGGCUGCUCCUAGUACGAGAGGACCGGAGUGGACGCAUCACUGGUGUUCGGGUUGUCAUGCCAAUGGCACUGCCCGGUAGCUAAAUGCGGAAGAGAUAAGUGCUGAAAGCAUCUAAGCACGAAACUUGCCCCGAGAUGAGUUCUCCCUGACUCCUUGA